RNAcentral lists this ribosomal RNA (253 nucleotides) under uncultured bacterium. RNAcentral's name for it is "partial 16S ribosomal RNA". It matches the Rfam family "Bacterial small subunit ribosomal RNA", at positions 524 to 776 of the family's 1533-position model. The record is from RNAcentral.
UACAGAGGUCUCGAGCGUUAGGCGGAAUCACUGGGCUUAAAGCGUGUGUAGGCGGAUCGGUAAGUACCUUGUGAAAUCCCACAGCUUAACUGUGGAACUGCUUGGUAUACUGCCAGUCUUGAGCCAGCUAGGGGCUACCGGAACAAAUGGUGGAGCGGUGAAAUGCGUAGAUAUCUGGAGGAACACCGGUGGCGAAGGCGGCAUCCUGGACCAACACUGACACUGAGGAGCGAAAGCCAGGGGAGCAAACGGG